GGAUUGAUGAUGAGUCCCUCAUCAAAACAUUCCUUGAAAAAGCUGAACAAAAUUAGUGAAACUCACUAUAGUCUCGCUCAUCAGAACUGAGGUCC
Molecule: small nucleolar RNA, 95 nt
Organism: Otolemur garnettii (small-eared galago)
Lineage: Eukaryota; Metazoa; Chordata; Mammalia; Primates; Galagidae
Gene: SNORD116
Rfam family: Small nucleolar RNA SNORD116
About the family: HBII-85 is a member of the C/D class of snoRNAs, which contain the C (UGAUGA) and D (CUGA) box motifs. HBII-85 is encoded in a tandemly repeated array with another C/D snoRNA, HBII-52, in the Prader-Willi syndrome (PWS) region of chromosome 15.
Source: Ensembl